This is a non-coding RNA of Potamilus streckersoni, 77 nucleotides long. The record is from the annotation of a GenBank genome assembly. Lineage: Eukaryota; Metazoa; Mollusca; Bivalvia; Unionida; Unionidae.
GACAGCACCGGUUACCUAGUGGCUAGAGCGUUCGCCUUGGAUGUGGGAGGUCGUGGGUUCGAUCCCCGGCCGAGUCA